GGGGUUGUGGCCCAGUGGUAAAGCUCCUGCUUAGAAUGUAGAAAGCCCCAUGUUCAGUUCCUGGCAUCUCCU
Molecule: transfer RNA, 72 nt
Filed under: Sphaerodactylus townsendi
Lineage: Eukaryota; Metazoa; Chordata; Lepidosauria; Squamata; Sphaerodactylidae
Description: tRNA-Ser
Rfam family: tRNA
About the family: Transfer RNA (tRNA) molecules are approximately 80 nucleotides in length. Their secondary structure includes four short double-helical elements and three loops (D, anti-codon, and T loops).
Source: RNAcentral